Molecule: ribosomal RNA, 271 nt
Filed under: uncultured archaeon
Lineage: Archaea
Description: partial 16S ribosomal RNA
Rfam family: Archaeal small subunit ribosomal RNA
Source: RNAcentral
CGGCGUCACGAGUGGCAAUCACGUUUAUUGGGUCUAAAGCGUUCGUAGCCGGUUUAGUAAAUCUUUUGUGAAAUUGUCGGGCUCAACCUGACACCGUGCAGAAGACACUGCUAAACUAGAGACCGGGAGGGGUUAGAAGUAUUUCAGGGGGAGCGGUAAAAUGUUAUAAUCCCUGAAAGACUACCAAUGGCGAAGGCAUCUAACCAGAACGGAUCUGACGGUGAGGAACGAAGGCUAGGGGCGCGAACCGGAUUAGAUACCCGAGUAGUCC